GGGCAACCAGGACCAAAGGGACAGAAAGGAGAACCUGGAGACAUCAAGGAUAUUGUAGGACCCAAAGGACCUCCUGGGCCUCAGGGACCUGCAGGUGAACAAGGACCCAGAGGUGAUCGUGGUGACAAAGGUGAAAAAGUGAGUAGAGAAACAAUGCUGUCUGACCCUUGUGGACUGCCAAGGUUCUCUAAGCUCCCCCCCC
Aethalodelphis obliquidens (Pacific white-sided dolphin) is the source of this 202-nucleotide long non-coding RNA. RefSeq lists it as uncharacterized. The record is from RefSeq and is a predicted model, not a curated record. Lineage: Eukaryota; Metazoa; Chordata; Mammalia; Artiodactyla; Delphinidae. The transcript has 4 exons.